Vicugna pacos (alpaca) is the source of this 2987-nucleotide non-coding RNA. NCBI's taxonomy places the organism in Eukaryota, Metazoa, Chordata, Mammalia, Artiodactyla, Camelidae. The record is from RefSeq and is a predicted model, not a curated record.
AAUAAUUGUUUUUGAACAAAUUAUUUCUGAUUUUAGAAACUAAAGGCAAGGAUGAAUGGGUACUUCCCUGGGUGAGAGAAAUUAACAAUUGUCUAUUUCAAGAAUAAACACUGCUGUUCUUAUUUUGCAUUUUUAAUGAUCUGAAAGAGGGACAGCCUAGUGAGAACUCCACAAUUUAGAUGCUGAUAAUCUCCUCCAAGUAGUCAGCAGCUAGCCUCUGGGGACAAACCUCUGGGUUCUGCAAGGUAAUUAGAACCUUACUGCUACAUUGGGAUCUUUGCAUGUUCAGGUUAAUUUUCUCAUUUGUCCCUUCUUUAGAAUAACUGUUUGAAAUUUGAUGAUCCUGGCAGGACAACAGUUGUUGUUUUUUAACAGAUUAAAAAAAAAAAAACUGAGGCUCUGAGAAGCAAAAGGUUUGCCAAGUUCAUUCACCUAGUAAGUGAAAGAGGUUGGACUGAAACAAAGGGCAUUUGACUCCUGGUGCAAGGUUGCCUAACACAACAAAGGCAUUAGAAGCCAAAAAUUGUAGACGUUCACAAAUGAUUUUGAUAAAUCCUUAGAUGUCAGACACAUAACAGAUGAGUAAAGGUCAUCAUGUGUUCUUAAUACCCAUCUUCUCCUUCUUCAGGCUAACGUCAUGGAGGGCAGCCAUGCAAUCCCCUAUAAAACCCUUUGCCAUCACUGUCAGAAACGGAGUCCUGGACUCCAGGCCCAUUGGCUUGUCCCAGUGAGCCCUUUCUCAAGUUCUUAUCUUUUGGAUACAGAAGCAUAUUACUAGGGAGUGUGAAGGGAAAGUUGACUUUAAUCUUAAUUGCCUGCAUAACAGUAUUUUUAAAAAGAUCUCACUCUGUAAAAUAUAAAACCUUACCAACAUCAUAGACGUCAGGCAUCCCAGGGCAGAGCAAAGGUUAUUAGAAAAGAAAAGCCAAGCUUGCAGUUACUCUGUCUUCUCUUCCUCUGAAUUUGCCAUCAAAAUACGGAUGCACUUCCAAGCAGACCAUAGCCAGAUUACAGAAAGCAGUCUGUGCAACUACUCUAUCCCUGCUUAAUGUACAUGCCAGGACAGGUCAGAACCUUCCCUUCACGCCGGCCUCACCAAGUAGGGACUGAACUACAGGACGACCAACGAACGUGACUUGUCCCUAGAGGCAUGGAGCCGCGGAGUCACAAGGAUUAAAAAAGGCCUCGGCGCACCAGUGAAGCUCCGUCCACUCCCUCCCUCGGCCUUGUGGCCGGGCUCGGGAAUUCCACCGGCAGGCUAAGCUCAAACGUUUCAGAGUUCUCGAGUCAACUGAAUGCUUGAACAUGGAUCUGGAAUUGACUACUUUCCCAUUGUUCUUGAAAACAAAGGUGCUUUUGCUGUGAAAUGGAUAUAUAAAUUCUUCUCAAGAGCCCAUCAGGAAAACAAUAUAGUGUAAGUCUUCCUUAACUAAGGGACAAUUGUUCUUUCUUCAUUAUAUUUCUUAAAUUCACUUUCUUUUUUUAUUUUUCCAUGACCGCCAUUGUAAGUUUUAAUUCUCAUCUGUUAUCCAGACAAUUUCACUGCCUCUUAAUUGGUCUUCCAUCUUUAGUCUUCCUUCGGUAUUUUGUAUGUACGACACCAGCCAAGACUUCUUAAACAGUUUAUCACACCACCUCCUCUCCCCAGAUUUGCAUGAGUCCUUAUUAUCUCCUCCUGGAGGGUAAAGAGCAUUUAGCAUUUAUUUUUCUAUCCAGACAAAAAAUAUAGGAGCAUUUCCAUGCUUGUCCUUGUACAUGUAUUUUUUAAAUUAACAAAUGAAUUAAUGAAUGAGUGAAUAAAGUGUCUUAUAUGGUAAGAACAUCACACAUCAAGUACAUGUGGUACUUAAUUUUCAAGUACCAUUUUUCAAAUACUGUUGUGACUAAUUUGAAAUCAAUUCAAGUCUCCCUAGUGGAUAAAAUUUGAGUUUAUUAUGUAUUUUCAUGCUAUGUGGGCACUGUUAUAACCUACAAUUAUGAGAUUCACAUACCAUGAGCACACUUGUGGAGGUUUUAAACUAUGCCUACAAAUCUUUGUUAAGGAUCCCUUGCAAAAGUGGAGCUUAAUUCACCUCCUUUUAUGAGUGCAUUGGACUUUCUGAUUUUCUCCUGUUCUAAUGAGUAGAAUAUGGUGAAGGUGAUAGUGGGUGACUUCUGAGAAAAGAACAUAAAAGGCUUUGUGGUUCCCUCCUUCCUCUGGUAAUUCACUCAUGUGCCAUGCCAUGAAGACAUUUCUUGGAAAGUACCAUGUGGUGGGAAACUGAGCUCUCCAGGCAACAGCCUGUGAGGAGCAGAGGCCACCUGACAACAUCCUUGUUGAGUGAGUUUGGAAGCAGAUUUCCCAGUGUAGGUAAGCUUUCAGAUGACUGCAGCCCCACCCAGUAUGUUCACUGCAGUGUCAUGAGAGGUCCUAGCACAGAACCAUCCAGCUAUCUGCUACCUUAAAAAAAAAAAAAAGAACGUGGGAAUAAUAUGAAAAUACAUGUUUGUUAGUUUAAGCCAUUACAUUCUGGAAUCAUUUGUCAUAUAACAAUCGAUAAUAAAACACUCAGGGCAGAUUUUAUUUUUAAAUGAGUGUGCAGGAGGUAUAAGGAGUUAUGAUCAGAAAUAAUCUCAUAUCCUCUCUCUCUCUUUUUCUUUUACAUACAGAAGUUAAUAACCAUUUUGUUGAGAACAUAGCAAUAUUUUCCAUGGUGUAUUUGGAGUGCAAAGUUAGAAAAUAUACCUUAGACUUAUAUCAUCAUCAUUCUUACAAAAAAUAUUAAAAAUAAACUAUUGGCAAAUAAUAUUCUUGUAUUCAAUGACUUUCGUUAAGCCAUUAAAUAAUAUAUCCCAGCACCUAGGCACUCAGAGACUAUAUAUAGCAUUCUGUUUGCCACAGGUAUUCCUUCUUUCUUUCCGUAAUUUUUAUAAAAUAAACUAAAUUCCAAAAUAUUUAUUCAUUAUGGAUUACAUUUUCACCAACAAGACGUGUUUUAGUAGUGCAU